RNAcentral lists this ribosomal RNA (253 nucleotides) under uncultured bacterium. RNAcentral describes it as "partial 16S ribosomal RNA". It matches the Rfam family "Bacterial small subunit ribosomal RNA", at positions 524 to 776 of the family's 1533-position model. The record is from RNAcentral.
UACGUAGGGUGCGAGCGUUGUCCGGAAUUAUUGGGCGUAAAGAGCUCGUAGGCGGUUUGUCGCGUCGGCCGUGAAAACUUGGGGCUUAACCCCGAGCCUGCGGUCGAUACGGGCAGACUUGAGUUCGGCAGGGGAGACUGGAAUUCCUGGUGUAGCGGUGAAAUGCGCAGAUAUCAGGAGGAACACCGGUGGCGAAGGCGGGUCUCUGGGCCGAUACUGACGCUGAGGAACGAAAGCGUGGGGAGCGAACAGG